AGACCUGGCCGGCGCAAGUGAAAGUGUAGUAUUUGUUAAUAUCAGUUUCAUCUCUGAUGCGCGUGCUAUUUAGACCCAAGAUAUUGAACUUAUUUCUGUAAGUCGGCGGAGAGCUUGAAGCCUGCUUUACCUCCGCCGCGGGUCGGCCUGGUGUUGCGCUACUAUCUUCGGGAUGGGCCCAUGGUUU
This is a small nuclear RNA of Dermacentor andersoni, 187 nucleotides long. RefSeq annotates it as U2 spliceosomal RNA. The record is from RefSeq and is a predicted model, not a curated record. NCBI's taxonomy places the organism in Eukaryota, Metazoa, Arthropoda, Arachnida, Ixodida, Ixodidae.